Long non-coding RNA from Silurus meridionalis, 215 nucleotides. RefSeq lists it as uncharacterized. Lineage: Eukaryota; Metazoa; Chordata; Actinopteri; Siluriformes; Siluridae. The record is from RefSeq and is a predicted model, not a curated record. The transcript has 3 exons.
CGAUCAGAUGUGCAGUUGAGCGUGCAGUGAAGACAGCAGAGAGAAAUGUGCAAAAGAUGAAACUUUCAUGAACUAGUGGAAUACUUGAUCAUCGCCAGUAACAUGAUGCAGCACCCAGUAGAAUCGUUCUGUCGAUCUGCUCCGGACGGGACAGCUCGCCUAACGAGACCACAGCAUCACACCCAGGUGAGUGAUGCGCACUAGAACGUCUUCUC